AAACGUCUUGAACAAUAAACGAGCCACACAAGCAGAAGACGUUCUGACAUCCUCUUUCAAAAAAGGAGGAAGAAUAAAUGCAGCUGGUUGGUUUUAUACGACUGGAGCUUUUGAACAGAGUGGAUGGUUAUUUGAUCUGCUGCUGAUGGAGUGAAAUUCAAGAUUUACUAGAUUUAACUGAAGAAUUUUAAAUUUAAGGUCUGAGAGAAGAUGAAGGACUAUCACAGUCUGUCUGAGAACAUGUUGACAGUCAACAUGUUACUGAGUGUCUUCUUUCUUUCAGGUGGCUUUGCUGAUCAUUGUGGUCGUCAUUCACCUUCCUUUGUCAUUGCAACACCAAAGUCCAUGGUAGCACUGAGUGGAUCUUGUUUGCAAGUCCCAUGUAGCUUCACAGUUCAACAAGCAGAAAAAGAUUUUAACAGUGGAAAACAAACCUCUGCAGCUUGGAUUCCAAGUAAUAAGGAUAUUUUUGACAUCAGUCAGGGAUUUAAUAACCAUCAAAUAAAUAUUACUGGAAACAUAAAAGAGAAAAAUUGCACCACUGUGUUUUCUGAUAUAAAUACAACACAAGAAACGGAAUAUUUCCUCAGAAUAGAGAUGGAUAAAUACAAAGGAACAGGUUGUUCUACUCCUUUAAAGAUUACAGGUCAAGGUAAGACUUUUACU
Long non-coding RNA from Xiphophorus maculatus (southern platyfish), 666 nucleotides. RefSeq lists it as uncharacterized. The record is from RefSeq and is a predicted model, not a curated record. NCBI's taxonomy places the organism in Eukaryota, Metazoa, Chordata, Actinopteri, Cyprinodontiformes, Poeciliidae. The transcript has 3 exons.